Molecule: ribosomal RNA, 1515 nt
Filed under: uncultured bacterium
Lineage: Bacteria
Description: bacterial SSU rRNA
Rfam family: Bacterial small subunit ribosomal RNA
Source: RNAcentral
GAGUUUGAUCCUGGCUCAGGACGAACGCUGGCGGCGUGCUUAACACAUGCAAGUCGAACGGAAAGCGCUUUUCGGAGUGACUCGAGUGGCGAACGGGUGAGUAACACGUGGGUGAUCUGCCCUGCACUUUGGGAUAAGCCUGGGAAACUGGGUCUAAUACCGGAUAGGACUACGAAUCGCAUGGUUUGUGGUGGAAAGCUUUUGCGGUGUGGGAUGGGCCCGCGGCCUAUCAGCUUGUUGGUGGGGUGAUGGCCUACCAAGGCGACGACGGGUAGCCGGCCUGAGAGGGUGUCCGGCCACACUGGGACUGAGAUACGGCCCAGACUCCUACGGGAGGCAGCAGUGGGGAAUAUUGCACAAUGGGCGCAAGCCUGAUGCAGCGACGCCGCGUGAGGGAUGACGGCCUUCGGGUUGUAAACCUCUUUCAACAGGGACGAAGCGUAAGUGACGGUACCUGUAGAAGAAGCACCGGCCAACUACGUGCCAGCAGCCGCGGUAAUACGUAGGGUGCGAGCGUUGUCCGGAAUUACUGGGCGUAAAGAGCUCGUAGGUGGUUUGUCGCGUUGUUCGUGAAAACUCACAGCUUAACUGUGGGCGUGCGGGCGAUACGGGCAGACUGGAGUACUGCAGGGGAGACUGGAAUUCCUGGUGUAGCGGUGGAAUGCGCAGAUAUCAGGAGGAACACCGGUGGCGAAGGCGGGUCUCUGGGCAGUAACUGACGCUGAGGAGCGAAAGCGUGGGGAGCGAACAGGAUUAGAUACCCUGGUAGUCCACGCCGUAAACGGUGGGUACUAGGUGUGGGUUUCCUUCCUUGGGAUCCGUGCCGUAGCUAACGCAUUAAGUACCCCGCCUGGGGAGUACGGCCGCAAGGCUAAAACUCAAAGGAAUUGACGGGGGCCCGCACAAGCGGCGGAGCAUGUGGAUUAAUUCGAUGCAACGCGAAGAACCUUACCUGGGUUUGACAUGCACAGGACGUGCCUAGAGAUAGGUAUUCCCUUGUGGCCUGUGUGCAGGUGGUGCAUGGCUGUCGUCAGCUCGUGUCGUGAGAUGUUGGGUUAAGUCCCGCAACGAGCGCAACCCUUGUCUCAUGUUGCCAGCGCGUUAUGGCGGGGACUCGUGAGAGACUGCCGGGGUCAACUCGGAGGAAGGUGGGGAUGACGUCAAGUCAUCAUGCCCCUUAUGUCCAGGGCUUCACACAUGCUACAAUGGCCGGUACAAAGGGCUGCGAUGCCGUGAGGUGGAGCGAAUCCUUUCAAAGCCGGUCUCAGUUCGGAUCGGGGUCUGCAACUCGACCCCGUGAAGUCGGAGUCGCUAGUAAUCGCAGAUCAGCAACGCUGCGGUGAAUACGUUCCCGGGCCUUGUACACACCGCCCGUCACGUCAUGAAAGUCGGUAACACCCGAAGCCGGUGGCCUAACCCGUAAGGGGGGGAGCCGUCGAAGGUGGGAUCGGCGAUUGGGACGAAGUCGUAACAAGGUAGCCGUACCGGAAGGUGCGGCUGGAUCACCUCCUUUCU